Molecule: long non-coding RNA, 1220 nt
Filed under: Zea mays
Lineage: Eukaryota; Viridiplantae; Streptophyta; Magnoliopsida; Poales; Poaceae
Description: long non-coding RNA (ZMAY_LNC000374)
Source: RNAcentral
GUGGUUGAUCUAGUAGUUAAGGAUCAAGAUCUAUUCCUACCCGUGGAAGAACCUCAAGUUUUCAAUAAGCAAGGCAAGUGGACUUCUCCCUCUGCAUACUCUGUUUGAUCCCAAACAAUACAUUUAAUAAAGUUUAUUCCUUUAGAUAUAUAUGCAUAAUUUGACGGGUUACCUAUUUAGAUAACCUUUCCAACCUUAUUCCUUGAUCAAACCUGGGAAUUAUACUUUACCUUAGUAGCUAUGCUAUUGCUACAACUUAACUUUAUGCAGUCACUCCAGUUUGUGAUAUUAAUGUUCCAAAAUGGUAAGUUUACUUUAUAUUGUUAAUCCGAUGGUUAAACAAGAUCAUUGCAUAUUAAUUGGAACAUGGAGUGACCACCCGGGAAAACAGUGCUACCAUGAGGACUAUCAUGGCUCUGGUCUUGGCUAAAUAACUAGGGAAGUCUUAUGUUGGGUGCUGGUCGUGGUCGACAGGAACGGGGGCACCUGGCAAGCUCUUAUAGUUUCGGCUCAGGCAGAUUGGAUACGGGCAUAGUUCCCAAAGCUUUACCCUGUAGUCUGGACUAUAAGUUGGUUACGGUAGGUGUGCCUUAUGCAGUUUGACCAUUUCCAGCAUUUGCGUAAUGAGGACUCUAGGGAGAAGCCUCGUAGUGAGACCCUGGCCAUUCACCUCGGAAGUGAAUAAGGGUCUAGCUUACCCGGGCUAGAAGGGAAUCGCGACUCAUGGGUAAAGAUGCGCCACCUCUGCAAAGUGUAAAACUGAUAUAUCAGCCGUGCUCACGGUUAUGAGCAGCCUGGACUCCUCACAUGAUAAUUGAACUUGAAGAUGGAAAUAAAUCGAGAUCCGAUGAUCUGCCAACGGUUUGCUUAAGUGGUUUCACUUAAGUGUUUUUGAUAUACUCUUGUACCUUUGUUUAAUGGGAAUACUUGGGAUUCACACUUAUUAUUAAGACAGGUGUUGUUAAUAAAAUGUUGACCAACUAAAAUGCUUACUGCUCAACCUCAGCCUCACCUUGUUAGACUUGCAUUAGUUUUUCCCCCACUUGCUGAGCCCCGACCAUAAGUGAGCUCACCCUUCCUUAAUUUUGAUCAGAAGUUGCAGAUGAAGAUAUGAUGCUGAACUCCAUGGAUGCUAGUCUAGUGAUACCCCCGGUCAUCUUCCUGUGGAUGGAUGUCCUUGUUUCGCUGUACUUUGAUGAAUAAAGGUUAAGACAUUAUGU